Molecule: long non-coding RNA, 257 nt
Organism: Limulus polyphemus (Atlantic horseshoe crab)
Lineage: Eukaryota; Metazoa; Arthropoda; Merostomata; Xiphosura; Limulidae
Exons: 3
Source: RefSeq, a predicted model, not a curated record
AGUGUCGUGAAAAGUCUUCCAUGGCGGCCAGUCAUAUCAAAAACCUAAUCAAAAAAUUGUUACUGAUUGUGUCAAGACCUGCUCGGCUACUGGAGUGCUUGGAGUUUGAUCCUGAAGAUUUCUACCGACUGCUAGAAGCUGUGGAAGGACAGGCUAAGGUAGCUCAAGGCAUCAAGACAGAUAUACCACAAUACAUCAUUAACAAGUUAGGCCUAAAUCGAGACCCUCUUGCUGGUAUGUUUUAGUGAACUGGAAUU